Molecule: ribosomal RNA, 250 nt
Filed under: uncultured bacterium
Lineage: Bacteria
Description: partial 16S ribosomal RNA
Rfam family: Bacterial small subunit ribosomal RNA
Source: RNAcentral
UACAGAGGGUGCAAGCGUUAAUCGGAAUUACUGGGCGUAAAGCGUGCGUAGGUGGUUCGCUAAGUCGGAUGUGAAAGCCCGGGGCUUAACCUCGGAAUUGCGUUUGAUACUGGUGAGCUAGAGUGUGGUAGAGGGUGGUGGAAUUCCCGGUGUAGCGGUGAAAUGCGUAGAUAUCGGGAGGAACAUCAGUGGCGAAGGCGGCCACCUGGACCAACACUGACACUGAGGCACGAAAGCGUGGGUAGCAAAC